GAUGAACGCUGGCGGCGUGCCUAAUACAUGCAAGUCGAGCGAACAGACGAGGAGCUUGCUCCUCUGACGUUAGCGGCGGACGGGUGAGUAACACGUGGAUAACCUACCUAUAAGACUGGGAUAACUUCGGGAAACCGGAGCUAAUACCGGAUAAUAUAUUGAACCGCAUGGUUCAAUAGUGAAAGACGGUUUUGCUGUCACUUAUAGAUGGAUCCGCGCCGCAUUAGCUAGUUGGUAAGGUAACGGCUUACCAAGGCGACGAUGCGUAGCCGACCUGAGAGGGUGAUCGGCCACACUGGAACUGAGACACGGUCCAGACUCCUACGGGAGGCAGCAGUAGGGAAUCUUCCGCAAUGGGCGAAAGCCUGACGGAGCAACGCCGCGUGAGUGAUGAAGGUCUUCGGAUCGUAAAACUCUGUUAUGAGGGAAGAACAAAUGUGUAAGUAACUAUGCACGUCUUGACGGUACCUAAUCAGAAAGCCACGGCUAACUACGUG
RNAcentral lists this ribosomal RNA (497 nucleotides) under uncultured bacterium. Its description in RNAcentral is "partial 16S ribosomal RNA". It matches the Rfam family "Bacterial small subunit ribosomal RNA", at positions 28 to 507 of the family's 1533-position model. The record is from RNAcentral.